CGCUCCUCCUUUUUUAAUGUUUUUCCCUGGUGAUCCGGUGUCUGAAUUACUGUGGAUCCAGUUGUCUGCUCAGACCGCAAGCGGCUUGGUUCUAAAGGGAUUCAAGCAUCUUCUGCAUGGAAUUCAGGGCAUGACAACAUGCAUCGCUUGUCGUUUCAGUGCAUGUGUUGCGAAUCACACAGAAUGAUGGAGGACCAACAGCUCCCUGGAUAAACCCUGCAGACCAAAACAACAUCACAACUCAAAUCAUGCACUUAAGGUGGGUGGAAAGAUGUAGCUGAGGAUCAAACGGAAACCAAUCUUGACCUCUCACGAACUCAGGUCAUCCCUGAAAGGGGUGUGGCCUGUGGAGUACCGCCCAACAUGUCCAAGAAACCCCCCAGUGGGCGGCCCAAAGGGGAACGGCCUGAUGCCAUGGCAGCACUGCAGGCAGCCAAUGAGGAGCUGAGGGCCAAGCUCACUGAAAUCCAAAUAGAACUUCAGCAAGAGAAAACCAAGGUCAGUAAGCUGGAAAGGGAGAA
This is a long non-coding RNA of Carassius auratus (goldfish), 521 nucleotides long. RefSeq lists it as uncharacterized. The transcript is spliced from 3 exons. The record is from RefSeq and is a predicted model, not a curated record. NCBI's taxonomy places the organism in Eukaryota, Metazoa, Chordata, Actinopteri, Cypriniformes, Cyprinidae.